CAAUAGCGUAUACUAAAGUUGUUGCAGUUAAAAAGCUCGUAGUUGGAUUUCUGUUUUGAAGAAUGGGUCGUGCCCAAACGGGUUCUGUGUGGUGCGGUAUCCAGGACUUUUACUUUGAAAAAUUAAGAGUGUUUAAAGCAAGCUUGCGCGAUGAAUACAUUAGCAUGGAAUAAUAAUAUAGGACUACGGGUUCUAUUUUGUUGGUUUCUAGACCUGAGGUAAUGAUUGAUAGGGAUAGUUGGGGGUGGCUAGUAUUGAGAGGCCAGAGGUGAAAUUCUUGGAUUCUCUCAAGACUAACUUAUGCGAAAGCAUUCACCAAGGAUGUCUUCUUUAAUCAAGAACGAAAGUUGGGGGAGUCGAAGAUGAUCAGAUACCAU
This 377-nucleotide ribosomal RNA is filed under the name uncultured eukaryote. Its description in RNAcentral is "bacterial SSU rRNA". It matches the Rfam family "Eukaryotic small subunit ribosomal RNA", at positions 592 to 1018 of the family's 1831-position model. The record is from RNAcentral.